AGAGUUUGAUCAUGGCUCAGAUUGAACGCUGGCGGCAGGCCUAACACAUGCAAGUCGAGCGGUAACAGGAAGUAGCUUGCUACUUCGCUGACGAGCGGCGGACGGGUGAGUAAUGCCUGGGAAUAUGCCUUGAUGUGGGGGAUAACUAUUGGAAACGAUAGCUAAUACCGCAUAAUGCCUACGGGCCAAAGAGGGGGAUCUUCGGACCUCUCGCGUCAAGAUUAGCCCAGGUGGGAUUAGCUAGUUGGUGGGGUAAAGGCUCACCAAGGCGACGAUCCCUAGCUGGUCUGAGAGGAUGAUCAGCCACACUGGAACUGAGACACGGUCCAGACUCCUACGGGAGGCAGCAGUGGGGAAUAUUGCACAAUGGGGGAAACCCUGAUGCAGCCAUGCCGCGUGUAUGAAGAAGGCCUUCGGGUUGUAAAGUACUUUCAGCAGUGAGGAAGGUGGUAGUGUUAAUAGCGCUAUCAUUUGACGUUAGCUGCAGAAGAAGCACCGGCUAACUCCGUGCCAGCAGCCGCGGUAAU
This 527-nucleotide ribosomal RNA is filed under the name uncultured bacterium. Its description in RNAcentral is "bacterial SSU rRNA". It matches the Rfam family "Bacterial small subunit ribosomal RNA", at positions 8 to 524 of the family's 1533-position model. The record is from RNAcentral.